AUGAUCAGAUCAAUAAAUCAAUCUACUCUAGAAUCUAUGAUAUGAUAUGAUGCAUAUAAAAUUUAAAAUAUAGAAGAUAAAAUCUGCAUGCAUACACGUGAGCAAUAGAUCAAAUCGACUUCUAAUAUGAAUUCAGAACUCGAUAUCUGAGUAUGGAUUGACGAUCGCCACUACUGAAAGAUAUGAUAAAGAGGAUCCUCGCUGAUUGCUUACAGCCGC
Molecule: long non-coding RNA, 219 nt
Filed under: Elaeis guineensis (African oil palm)
Lineage: Eukaryota; Viridiplantae; Streptophyta; Magnoliopsida; Arecales; Arecaceae
Description: long non-coding RNA (EGUI_LNC056947)
Source: RNAcentral